GGAACCGUAAAAUUGGGGUCAAAACUCUAAUUUGGCAUUUAAAUUAGAAAGAUCAUAUCAUAGGGCACAUGUAUACUAAGUUUCAUGUUGAUUGGACUUCAACUUCAUCAAAAACUACCUUGACCAAAAACUUUAACCUGAAGCCAAAAACUUUAACCUGAAAUUUGCACUAUCAUUUUCUAUGUUCAGUGAACCGUGAAAUUGGGGUUAAAACUCUUAUUUGGCAUUUAAAUUAGAAAGAUCAUAUCAUAGGACACAUGUGUACUAAGUUUCAAGUUGAUUGGACUUCAACUUCAU
RNAcentral lists this long non-coding RNA (297 nucleotides) under Mytilus galloprovincialis (Mediterranean mussel). Lineage: Eukaryota; Metazoa; Mollusca; Bivalvia; Mytilida; Mytilidae. The record is from RNAcentral.